GGGCGGGGCAGCCUCCCGCAGCGCUCGCGCCGGACACCUGUCACGUGGGCAGGCGUCCGGGGGUAACCCACAUGCGAGGCCACGGAUCACCGAAGGGCACGGACCCCAGAGGCCUUGUGUCCAAGUCCCCAGACACUCAUCAUGGCUGCUUCCUAUUCCCCUCCGAAGGUUUCUGAUACAAGCAACCCAGAAGCAGAGGGAGCAUGCCCAGUGCAGCUUCUCACGCUCCGGCCUACAGGACUCUGGCUGACUCCUGUCUCCUGAAUAAGAGAAUGCCCUUCACCUUUGCGGCCUUCCGUGGUGCAGGAAUUGUACGCAUCAAUCCCAAUCUACCACAGUGAAACGGACGUUAUCCCCAAUAUUCCAUCACCUUCCCUAUGUUGCCAUUGUUCCUCUUUCCAAGAUUUGACAGCUAGCAUUGUACAUGAGCAUUAACCAAAUGGUUCGGGGGUGGGAGGCAGCGGCCUGCACGCUUCCUAACGCUUGAGAGAAUUGAGGCUUUCAUAUGGGAUCAGAGACAAGAAGGCACGGACCAGUGAGAACUUGCAUCUUCUGACCAGGGUGAGCAUGGCCUAAGACUUUCAUAGUACAAAUAUUGAAAGUCCCACAUCCUGGAGACGCCCCCUCAACCCCCACCCUGCCCCCAGAGCCAGGCAAAGCAGGGCAUCAGAUCAAUUCUGACCCCGAUUUUUACUGUUGUUGGUUAACCAGGCGAACCUGUCUUAACAUUUAUCUUGGUUCCCUCAAGGACAGAACAAGGGAUGGCAGUCUUCAUGUCAAUUUCAUUAAGACUAGGGAAGCUAGAGAGAGGACAAAGGCAGAGAAAUGGAGGAGUACACUGGGAGGUUCUGAGGUGGCUGGAAGCUUCACCUCACAUAGCUGAUUGUGUGGGUACAGGCUAGUGCCAGAGAAACUGUCAGAAACAGAGUCCAGAAGCAGUCUCUUGGCUCCGUCCUAUCACCUGUUGCCCGAGGGUUAAAGUCUAGCCUACACACCCGAUGAGUACUCAAGGAAAACAACCUGGGGCCAGUGCCUGCAGGUACUGGGCAGCCCAUGAGUGACAAAUGAGCUUCCCAGUCAGUCAGUACAAGGGCCAGAGUAUGUGGUGACAGAGGCUGGAACCCUGUGAGUUUUCACCAGGACAAGGGAGGCUGAGUGAGAUAAAGACCAAGGUGGAAAGUCAAAACAGGGACCACAUGAGUCUGGACAGGGUCAGAUGGGAAUCCGAGGUUGUUGUGAAAAUGCUAAAUGAGGCAUCUGGGAAUGACCCGUAGUCCUUUGGGGCUUUCUUUAGACUCCAGCAGAAGGUGGUGACCUUGUCUCCAUGGUAACCUCAGUGAGUAUCUACCUGAGGUGGAGUUCCUCCUGCCGAGCAGGCAAUCUGAGCAGUGAAGGGACAAGAUUGGGGGUGGUGAAACACAGGGGCCCGCAGAGCAAAUUAGUGCAGGACAGUGGGUCACACAGUGUGCUUCAGUGCCAGCGCCUGGGGAGCUUUAAGGACCCUCAACCCAGUAAAGAGCAGAGUUCAGGGGCAGUUUAGGGAUGGGUGAUUUGUAAGCCUCCCUCCAGGGCUAGGAUGCAUGAUCCACUGCAGCUAUUCCUAGGACCAGUUAGGACCGGCUGCAUCACCGAGCUCCGGUUCUGUGAGUAUUCUCUGUAUCCUGCCAAGAAAUCCUCUUUUGGGCUAAAGUUAAUACUCUACAGGACAAUCUUAGGUGCUGCGGUCUCUGCGGAGAGUGGCGGUGAGUGACACUUCAUGCUGGGGACCCUGGCAAAGCUAACAACUCACUGGAGUGGGAAGGGACAGUGUUCUGCUCUGCAGUUCCCUGCGGGAGGAAGCAGAAGCUGACUUCCCACAGAAGCUUCCAGUCCCUGCAGUGGCCAUGAGACCUAACCCUGUCCCUGACCCUGACCCUAACCCGACCUGCCCUUUCCAGAACCUCAGAAAAUCCCCUCCCCCCAAACAUGGAGCUUCACCCUAGAAUAACCAUGCGUGACAAACUGGGGACCGCAGAGUUAGCUUCACCUAAAGGUUAAAACCCUACCCUGGAAUCCUGCUGAGGUUUGGUGGGGAAGCACAGUGGAGCAUUGUUUGAUGUGCAAACUGGGAGACAGAGGCUAAGGGGCAAUUUGCUGUCCACGUGGGUGCAUGAAGACAAUAGAGACAGAACAUCACUGCUUCCCCAUCCUUCCCAAGUGCUGUUUGACUCCUCCAUUCCACAGGGAGCAGAGCAAGGCAGGAGUGCCCACUGGCUCCCUCCAUCAUAGAGGCAGCAACCACAGCAGCACCCACAAACUGGUCUGUGGUGGGAAGACACAGGGAGAGGGAUCGGGAGCAGGCAGGCACACAUGCCUGUGCCUCUGGCAGGCAGUCGGUCCGUCCUCAGCUCAGGAACAAACGAAAGGCUGCUCAGUUAGAUCAAAAUGUCCUAUGAACUCCUGGGGUAGGAGGAGGAGGGGGAGGAGGCCCAGACCCAGGCACAUGAUGAUCUGUCCAGCUACAGGACCCCAGGUCAUGAAGAAGUCCUUCGCUUUAGCCUCCAACACACAGAUCAGCAGCUUUCUCUUGGCUUCCUGGCUCUGACUAAACCAAACAACUUUAGUCCACUCAGGGUAGGGGAAGAUGAGGAACAAAAAGUUCUGGAGCAGGCAGGGCAGUGACCUGGACCAAGCAAACCCAAGGAGUCAUGGUGGACUUCCACAAGUGACCCUGAUUAUCAGUGGUGGCUUUAGAGUCGUCUCCCUGCUCUAGGGCCUAAGGUGGCAGCUUGGAGAAAGCUUGCCCACCCCCCAUGCCCUUUCCUUGAGGGGGGUGGGCGUUCAUAUGGUACAGUGUAUCUGUUUGUCAGGAUUCACUUUUUAUACAUUGGGUACCUGGAUCACACUAACACAAUUCCUUAAAGUCACGGGGGCCUUCUUGAUAUUAUGAAGGGGUUUCAGGAGAGGAGGAGAGGUACUAUGAAAUAUUUUGGGAAGAGCCUUAAGGAUGCAUGAUGACUCAGCUGAUAAAGCGCUUACCAUGCAAGCAUGGGGACCUGGACUCCAGAACCCACCCAGAACCCACAAUAAGCCAUCAGGCAUGGUGGGUGCGUGACCUCAUCGCAGGCAAGGCAGAGACAGGUCCCUGGGGCACAGUGACCAGGCAGACUAGCAGAGGAUGUUGAUCCCCGGGCCAGUGAGAGAUCGUGGAGGAGGGAGGAGAGGGAGAGGGAGAGGGAGAGAGGAUGUAGUGGGGAGGAGAGAUCUCGAGAGAUGGCUCAGUGGGUAAGGGUACCUACUACGCACACAUGAGUGCUUGGGUUUGGAUCUCAGCACCCAUGUGAAAAGAAAUAACACAAAGUUCAGUGGGUAGGGAAUGGGAAGGGCCAAGGAGGGAUUGGGGGAAGGAAAAACAUGGUUAAAAUCUACUGUGUGGACAUUUAUUUAUUUAUUUAUUUAUUUAUUUAUUUAUUUAUUUAUUUAUUUUAUGGUCUUUCAAGACAGGGUUUCUCUGUGUAGCCCUGACCGUCCCGGGACUCACUCUGUAGACCAGGCUGACCUCACACCCAAAGAUUUGCCUGCCUCUGACUCCUGAGAGCUGAGAUUAAAGUAUGCAUCACCACCACCCAGCUAAAUUAUUUUUAAAAUAAAGAAAUUAGUUUAAAAAAGGAAGCCAGGGGGUUGGGGAUUUAGCUCAGUGGUAGAGCGCUUGCCUAGGAAGCGCAAGGCCCUGGGUUCGGUCCCCAGCUCCGAAAAAAAGAACCAAAAAAAAAAAAAAAAAAAAAAGGAAGCCAGGCCCCUGCAACCCCUGCACUGUGAAGUGCAGAGACGAGGAUUGCUGCCAGGGCUUCCUGGCCACCAGCCUAGCUCCAGGCUCAGUGAAAGACCCUGUGUUGUUAAGGGAGUAAGAUGGAGAACAGGAAGUCCUCCUCUGGCUUCUGUGUGCAUGGGUACACACACACACACACACACACACACACACACACACACACACACGCACGCACACACACACUUCAGAAAUUAAAAACACCUAGCAUGUGGGAGGCAGAGGCAAGCAGAUCUCUGAGUUCGAAGCCAACCUGGUCUACACAAUGAGUUCCAAGCCAGCCAGGGCAACACAGUAAGACCCUGUCAAUCAAUCAACCAAGCAAUCAAUCAGUAAGUAACAAUUAAAAAGAGAGAGAAACUAAGGCAAUGUCUCAUGCCUAUAGCACUAGCACUGGGGCACCGGAGGCAGAACCAUCAUGAAUUCAAGGCCAGCAUAGACUGCAGAGAGUCACAGGCCAGGAAUAAAUAAGAAAUAUGACGUUUACCCUAGGGUUCUCACAGAAACAAUUAAAGCUUGAUUGAACCACCAAGAAAGAGGUCUGGAGAGCAUGCAGCCCUUGCUGCUGCGACUGUACUCAGCACAGGCCCAGGAAAUGAGCCAAAGGCAUUCUGGAUGUGCCUGCGACAUGGCACUGGGCAUCAUGGAUAGGCCAUGAGGUAAACGGAUGGACACAAUGUGAGAUGGUGAGCGUUGUAGGUCCUGGAAGGCUCAAGUCAUCUCAAUGCCACAACAAAAGAAAGGAAAACACAGAGGUCCUGGAAUGACUCAGGGCAGGUCCAGAGGUCUAGGUCAGAGUUACAGCGGUGCUAAGGAUCCCACCCCAUAGCUAACUUCAGGGCACUUCUGCCCAGCCUCUCCCUUUGACCUGGAAGCUGCCAGACAGAGAUAAGAGUCAUUAAUGUCUGGUUCCAUUACUGUAACGCUCCCUGAUUCACACACACACCCUGCGCAGUCCUUCUAUAACAUAUAUAACUCACACACACACACACACACAGAGGAGCAUCCCCAGGUCCUCUUACUGGGUGUCUGAUGUGCUAUUUGCUUUAAUUCACACAGGAACAAGUAGAGACCGUGCCAGAGAGAGUCUGUGAAAUCAUAGUGGGCAAAGAGGUGAAAGAACCAGGGCACAGGGAGUUACUAGAACCAAGGGACAAGAGUUCUAAGCAUGUCCCAUCUCAGGGUCAAAUCCUUCCAAACACAGGACAAAGCCUGGAAGGACCCACAGACUUGCACACAGAUGCUCACUGGGGACCUGGCUGGGACAGGACAUGUGCAGUAAGUUGAUAGAAAGAGGCAGGGGUGGUGGACUGCCCAGCCAGCACUUGUGGGUGAUGGUUGGGGUUGAAGAGGAGUUUUCUCUUUUAUGAGAGCCCCUCAAGAGACCCUGCAAGAAACUGGGGAGGAUGAAGAGAUUGGGUGUCAUUUAGCAGCAAAGAGAGGAAUCUCUGUGUCAAAGGACAGCAGUCAUUUGGUUUCGAAAAGUCACAGUUUAUGUAGCAGAUGCGGUGGAAGUUUUGGGCUCUAAAUAGCUAAAAACAUCAAUUAUAUUUAAAGUAAUUGAAAAUGUGAAGAAUUUGGGUUUGGAAACUUCAAGCUUUGACCUAACAACCUGAUACAGAGGAAAGACUAUGGGAGGAUCCUGUUUAGUUAUCUGUCCCAGCUUGGGAGAAGUCCAGACAUGUUGGAAAGACAAUGUGCUUGUUCCUAAGGGAGGCAGAGACAGGAGUCCCUGUGGAAGGAAAAUUGAGACAUAUGAACACGUAGAAAUCAUUGAUGACCCCAGGCUAUGAAAGGGGAAAGCCUGCAGGCAUGGGUUGGGCUAGCUGCGGAAGUGUCAUACGCCUUGCCCUGGCAUCCACCGACCCCUCCUACAUAUGCCUGCUCAGGGCCUUUGGCCCAUGGCGCCUCCAGGCCCUACACUUGUUGAACAGCAAGCUGGCAUGAGCUGCCUGCAACACUGAGCCCCAUGUGGACAUAACUCAUGCAUUUCAACUCAUCGGACAAGCUGAUGAAAUUAUCUUUCUCAUUUCGAAAUGACGGAGCCAGGCAGGUUCUAAAAUUGCAGCCUUAAGCAGUGACAUGGCUCAGCAAGUAAAGGGGCUUGCCACAAGCCCGAUGACCCGAGCUACAUCCCCGGACACAGGCGUGGAGGGAGAGAACCAGACCCCACAAAUCCUCUGGCUCCUCCACCCUCCCCACAGAUAAAUGUAGAGCUCUCAGCUCCUCCUGCACCAUGCCUGCCUGGAUGCUGCCGUGCUCCUGCCUUGAUGAUAAUGGACUGAACCUCUGAACUUGUAUGUCAGCCCCAAUUAAAUGUUGUCCUUAUAAGA
This is a long non-coding RNA of Rattus norvegicus (Norway rat), 6138 nucleotides long. RefSeq lists it as uncharacterized. Lineage: Eukaryota; Metazoa; Chordata; Mammalia; Rodentia; Muridae. The record is from RefSeq and is a predicted model, not a curated record.